This 564-nucleotide unclassified non-coding RNA is filed under the name Dasynotus daubenmirei. RNAcentral's name for it is "partial external transcribed spacer". The record is from RNAcentral. Lineage: Eukaryota; Viridiplantae; Streptophyta; Magnoliopsida; Boraginales; Boraginaceae.
AGGUCUUUCGUGCCAAGCGGUGCUUUCUCUACUCUCUCGUCGGCUUGGAUUGUUUCAUAGAGUGAUUUUGCUCUCUAUGGGGUGGUCUUUGGUUGAUUGGGGGGUGGAUAAUGCAAUACGUGUAGGUGCAUGAGUGGUGUUUUGCUUGUGUUGGUUGGUUGGAUCCUUGCUCUGGCAACGACGUCCAUCCUCACAUGCAUCUUCAGUUGCGUCUUGGGAUUCAUACUAUCUCGAGUUUUAUAUUGGUUUCUUGUGUUGGGUACCUGAUAUGAUGGCAAUCGGUAGUCUAAAUGUAACAUUUCGCCGUUCGUUGUCCUUUUUUGGCCGAUGCAGGGUGAACCACGAAGUAAUCUCUGUGUCCCACUCCACUCACAUUAAAUUGUGCUUGUGUAUUGGUCCAUGGAGAAUUUGCUUGUGCUCUUGGGUGCGGUGUAUUUAUAUGGGCAUGAGGUCUCACGUCCUCUUUUUGCCUUAACAAAAGCUUUCGUCGCUUAGUUGCGAACGAUUGCAAUUCCCCGUUUCUAGCCUUUUGGCGUGUGCGGUGAUUGCUUCGUUGAGGAAUGC